CUGGGCUAUGGUGACAUGUGCCCAGAGACAUGGUCAGGCAUGGUUGUGGGUGCCCUUUGUGCCCUCGCAGGCGUGCUGACCAUUGCCAUGCCCGUGCCGGUGAUCGUCAACAAU
Regulatory RNA element from Scleropages formosus (Asian bonytongue), 114 nucleotides. It matches the Rfam family "Potassium channel RNA editing signal". Rfam says of the family: This family represents a group of sequences related to the human potassium channel Kv1.1 hairpin element which directs the efficient modification of an adenosine to inosine by an adenosine deaminase acting on RNA (ADAR). The ADAR modification causes an isoleucine/valine recoding event which lies in the ion-conducting pore of the potassium channel. NCBI's taxonomy places the organism in Eukaryota, Metazoa, Chordata, Actinopteri, Osteoglossiformes, Osteoglossidae. The record is from Rfam.